This 446-nucleotide ribosomal RNA is filed under the name uncultured bacterium. RNAcentral's name for it is "bacterial SSU rRNA". It matches the Rfam family "Bacterial small subunit ribosomal RNA", at positions 29 to 524 of the family's 1533-position model. The record is from RNAcentral.
AACGAACGCUGGCGGCAGGCUUAACACAUGCAAGUCGAGCGCCCCGCAAGGGGAGCGGCAGACGGGUGAGUAACGCGUGGAACGUGCCCUUUGGUUCGGAACAACUCCGGGAAACUGGAGCUAAUACCGGAUAAGCCCUUCGGGGAAAGAUUUAUCGCCAAAGGAUCGGCCCGCGUCUGAUUAGCUAGUUGGUGAGGUAAUGGCUCACCAAGGCGACGAUCAGUAGCUGGUCUGAGAGGAUGAUCAGCCACACUGGGACUGAGACACGGCCCAGACUCCUACGGGAGGCAGCAGUGGGGAAUAUUGGACAAUGGGCGCAAGCCUGAUCCAGCCAUGCCGCGUGAGUGAUGAAGGCCUUAGGGUUGUAAAGCUCUUUUGUCCGGGAAGAUAAUGACUGUACCGGAAGAAUAAGCCCCGGCUAACUUCGUGCCAGCAGCCGCGGUAAU